RNAcentral lists this ribosomal RNA (500 nucleotides) under uncultured Stigonematales cyanobacterium. RNAcentral's name for it is "bacterial SSU rRNA". It matches the Rfam family "Bacterial small subunit ribosomal RNA", at positions 117 to 683 of the family's 1533-position model. Lineage: Bacteria; Bacillati; Cyanobacteriota; Cyanophyceae; Nostocales; Stigonemataceae. The record is from RNAcentral.
GUGAGAAUCUGGCAAAAGGUUCGGGACAACAGUUGGAAACGGCUGCUAAUACCGGAUGUGCCUGUGGGUGAAAGAUUAAUCGCCUUUUGAUGAGCUCGCGUCUGAUUAGCUAGUUGGUGUGGUAAGAGCGCACCAAGGCGACGAUCAGUAGCUGGUCUGAGAGGAUGACCAGCCACACUGGGACUGAGACACGGCCCAGACUCCUACGGGAGGCAGCAGUGGGGAAUUUUCCGCAAUGGGCGAAAGCCUGACGGAGCAAUACCGCGUGAGGGAGGAAGGCUCUUGGGUUGUAAACCUCUUUUCUCAGGGAAUAAGAAAGUGAAGGUACCUGAGGAAUCAGCAUCGGCUAACUCCGUGCCAGCAGCCGCGGUAAUACGGAGGAUGCAAGCGUUAUCCGGAAUGAUUGGGCGUAAAGCGUCCGCGAGGUGGUUGCUCGAAGUCUGCUGUCUAAAGAAGUCAUGGCCUACACCGAAGGAUAAAAAGCGCCCUAGGUGGGGGUA